CCCUUAGAUGUUCUGGGCCGCACGCGUGCUACACUGAGUGGAUCAGCGGGUCAGGUUGCGCGAAAGUGUUUCCUAAUCUUUAAAUCUGCUCGUGAUGGGGAUUGACGGUUGCAAUUUUCCGUCAUGAACGAGGAAUACCUUGUAAGCGCGGGUCAUCAUCCCGCGCUGAAUACGUCCCUGCCCGUUGUACACACCGCCCGUCGCUCCUACCGAUUGAGUGGUCCGGUGAGGCUUUGGGAUCUGAGCGGAAAGAGCGUUUCGCUGUUUCUGCCCGGAAAACUCAGUCGAACCUUAUCAUUUAGAGGAAGGAGAAGUCGUAACA
Molecule: ribosomal RNA, 322 nt
Filed under: uncultured eukaryote
Lineage: Eukaryota
Description: partial 18S ribosomal RNA
Rfam family: Eukaryotic small subunit ribosomal RNA
Source: RNAcentral